AACGAACGCUGGCGGCAUGCCUAACACAUGCAAGUCGAACGAGACCUUCGGGUCUAGUGGCGCACGGGUGCGUAACGCGUGGGAACCUGCCCUUAGGUUCGGAAUAACUCCCCGAAAGGGGUGCUAAUACCGGAUAAUGUCUUCGGACCAAAGAUUUAUCGCCUUUGGAUGGGCCCGCGUUGGAUUAGCUAGUUGGUAGGGUAAAAGCCUACCAAGGCGACGAUCCAUAGCUGGUCUGAGAGGAUGAGCAGCCACACUGGGACUGAGACACGGCCCAGACUACUACGGGAGGCAGCAGUGGGGAAUAUUGGACAAUGGGCGAAAGCAUGAUCCAGCAAGGCCGCGUGAGUGAUGAAGGCCUUAGGGUUGUAAAGCACUUUUACCCGGGAUGAUAAUGACAGUACCAGGAGAAUAAGCACCGGCUAACUCCGUG
Molecule: ribosomal RNA, 433 nt
Filed under: uncultured bacterium
Lineage: Bacteria
Description: partial 16S ribosomal RNA
Rfam family: Bacterial small subunit ribosomal RNA
Source: RNAcentral